RNAcentral lists this ribosomal RNA (1532 nucleotides) under Streptomyces mutabilis. The record is from RNAcentral. Lineage: Bacteria; Bacillati; Actinomycetota; Actinomycetes; Kitasatosporales; Streptomycetaceae.
GGCCGGCCUCGUCGACGAGGGCCGCGAACGCGCGCGUUGCCUCGUCGGGCCGCAUCGGGUCGCCGUCCUCCUUGGCGAACACCAGGCCGUGAUCCUUGUACGCCUCGCCCCACUCCUCACGCUCCGCCUGCUGCCGAAGCUGAUGCGCGAGCAGCGCGCCGACCACGUCGUCUCCCAGCUCGAUCACGCGGCCCUUGCUGGUCUUCGUCUUCGGGUCCCCGAAGCUCACGCCCAGGUGCCCGGCCUCGCAGUACGGGCACGGCGCCGCGGCCUGCUUCCGCUUCUUCCGCCCGGACUCCUGCACCACCUGCCGACGCACCGUCAGCGUGCGCCCGACGAGGUCGACGUCGUCCCAGCGCAGGCCCAGCGCCUCACCGCGCCGCAGACCCGUGUACGCGAUCACCUCGAACAGGCCGCCGAGCCGGUUGCUGCCGAUCGCGUCGAGGAAGGCGCCCAGCUCCUCACCGGUCCACGGCUCGACCUCGGUUUCCGCGGCCUGCGGGAGCGUCGCCUUCCUGGCGACGUUGAACGCGAUCAGAUCCUUCUUGGCCGCCGUCUGCAACGCGCUCGACAGCGUCGCGUGAACCCGACGAACGGUCGUCUUCGACAGCUUCCCGUCGUUGAUCGCGGUCACCAUGCGGUCGACGUGCGAGGCCCGGAGGUCCCGCAGGCGUAUGUGCCCCAUGUGCGGCUUGAGGUAGUCGCGGAUGUGGUGCCGGUAGGACCGCAGCGUGGUGACGCGCCGGCCCUCGCGUUCCUUGAGUUCGAUCCACUGGUCAAGCCACACCGACAGCUUCAUGCCCUCGUCGUACGAGUAGGUGCCCUCGCCGACCUUGGCGAGCAGCUUGUUCAGCGCUUCUUCCGCGUCGUCUGACGUGCGGAACCCGCCCUUGCGGACCUGCUUCCGCUUCCCGUCCGCACCGCGGCCCACGUCGGCGACGUAGUACCACGUGCCGUGAUCCUUGCGGCAGUUCUUGCGGUUGCCCUUGGCGUCGUACUGAGCCGGGCACUUGCACCGCUUGUACGUCGAGCCCUUCACUCCUUGGCCCCCCAGUCGUCAUCGUUGAACGGCGUCUCCGAGCGCCGGCUCCCAGGGUUUGCCACCUGAUACUCAUCGAGCGUGAGCAACGUCUCGCGGCCCGGGAGGUGCUCUGGCAGCGGAGGCGGCGUCAUCCCGCGUAGCCGGAUCUCUUCGCGAGUGUUCAAAAGCGCUUCGCCUGCCCGCAAUGCUUCCCUGGACGCUGCCUCUGACAGAGCGAUGAGGGCCUUGCGCAGAUCCUUGUCGGCCUCAGGGUCCAGCUUCGCCGUGCGCUCCAACUGCCACUCAGACUCUCGGUGCAGCGAGGUGACUUUCCUCAGGUCAUCGUGAUGUUGGUCGAAGAGGGUGAUGCCAGACAGGUGGUCGGCCUCGCCCCAGGGGCCCUCCAAUUCGCUGCGCCACCAUCCGGCAGCGUCGUACGUGUCGUAGGCGAACCCGGGGAACAACUCCACCUGCUCCUCGUAGCCCACCGGGAAGACCAGCGAUACGGGAG